GAUCCAGCUUGCUGGAUGCUGACGAGCGGCGGACGGGUGAGUAAUGCAUAGGAAUCUGCCCGAUAGUGGGGGAUAACCUGGGGAAACCCAGGCUAAUACCGCAUACGUCCUACGGGAGAAAGGGGGCUCCGGCUCCCGCUAUGGGAUGAGCCUAUGUCGGAUUAGCUAGUUGGUGAGGUAACGGCUCACCAAGGCCACGAUCCGUAGCUGGUCUGAGAGGAUGAUCAGCCACAUCGGGACUGAGACACGGCCCGAACUCCUACGGGAGGCAGCAGUGGGGAAUAUUGGACAAUGGGGGAAACCCUGAUCCAGCCAUGCCGCGUGUGUGAAGAAGGCCCUCGGGUUGUAAAGCACUUUCAGCGAGGAAGAACGCCUAGCGGUUAAUACCCGCUAGGAAAGACAUCACUCGCAGAAGAAGCACCGGCUAACUCCGUGCCAGCAGCCGCGGUAAUACGGAGGGUGCAAGCGUUAAUCGGAAUUACUGGGCGUAAAGCGCGCGUAGGUGGCUUGAUAAGCCGGUUGUGAAAGCCCCGGGCUCAACCUGGGAACGGCAUCCGGAACUGUCAAGCUAGAGUGCAGGAGAGGAAGGUAGAAUUCCCGGUGUAGCGGUGAAAUGCGUAGAGAUCGGGAGGAAUACCAGUGGCGAAGGCGGCCUCUUGACUGACACUACACUAGGUGCGAAAGCGUGGUGCAAACGGAUAAUUACCUGUUAUCCCCCCCAAAUGUUACCCCUGGUCCAUCCCUUGUGGAAAUAUACCAAAAUCACCACGGGUGGCCGGUAACAUAUAAUGC
RNAcentral lists this ribosomal RNA (792 nucleotides) under Halomonas sp. G6-16. RNAcentral describes it as "bacterial SSU rRNA". It matches the Rfam family "Bacterial small subunit ribosomal RNA", at positions 72 to 865 of the family's 1533-position model. The record is from RNAcentral. Lineage: Bacteria; Pseudomonadati; Pseudomonadota; Gammaproteobacteria; Oceanospirillales; Halomonadaceae.